CCCUUAGAUGUCCGGGGCUGCACGCGCGCUACACUGAAGGAAUCAGCGUGCUAAAACCAUUGUCGAAAGGCAUUGGUAAACCCAUUAAAAUCCUACGUGAUUGGGAUCGGGAAUUGCAAUUACUUCCCUUGAACGAGGAAUUCCCAGUAAGUGUGGGUCAUAAGCUCGCGUUGAUUACGUCCCUGCCCUUUGUACACACCGCCCGUCGCUGCCCGGGACUGAGCCGUUUCGAGAAAAGCGGGGACUGCUGCUGUCGGGGCUUUCGGGCCUUGGCUUCGGUGGAAACCGCUUUAAUCGCAGUGGCUUGAACCGGGCAAAAGUCGUAACA
RNAcentral lists this ribosomal RNA (328 nucleotides) under uncultured eukaryote. RNAcentral's name for it is "partial 18S ribosomal RNA". It matches the Rfam family "Eukaryotic small subunit ribosomal RNA", at positions 1470 to 1796 of the family's 1831-position model. The record is from RNAcentral.